Molecule: non-coding RNA, 1131 nt
Organism: Pimephales promelas (fathead minnow)
Lineage: Eukaryota; Metazoa; Chordata; Actinopteri; Cypriniformes; Leuciscidae
Source: RefSeq, a predicted model, not a curated record
CUGUCCAGUCCUGCAGAUUUGCCUUGUACAACAUUAGGAGGAUCAGGCCCUUCCUAUCGGAGCUACACAACUCCUUCUCCAAGCUCUUUGUUCUAUCCAGACUGGACUAUUGUAAUGCUCUCUUGGCAUGUCUUCCAGCAUCAACUGUAAAACCUCUGCAACUGAUCCAGGAAGCUGCUGGAAGAGUGGUCUUUAAUGCAUGUUACAAAUGAAAACUUGCAUUUUUGGCACUCACAUCAAAUUCAAGCAGGGAAAUCACCUAAGGAAAUCACGGCGCAGAACCGCCGUCAUUGUGUUAAGCCCGCCCACCAACUCUAUACACGAUGUGAUUGGCCGGACCAGAGUUUGAUUUUUACACUUCGCAAGUCAACGGAGAGUUGCUAGACCACACUUUGCUGCAAAAUAAUUUUUGCUGCCGCUAGGGAGGCAAAAAAUGCUCAAAACUGAACAGUAUGAUCAGAUCUCAUGAGUCAACGGGCAAGAUAAAGCUGACAGUGGCUGCAUUCCCAGACCCUUCUCCACCAAUCAGAGGGACGAUGAUUAAGCCUGAUUAGCCAAAAUCAAAGCUGGCGCUCAACCCUGACUGUCUGCAAUCAAUGUCUGGCUGACUCCUCCCGCAGAUAUGGGCCUAAACAGCGUUGAGAUACUAUCGGCCUCCUACUGCCACAAGCUCUAAUCCCUCGGCAUUUCUGGACGCGCUCGGGAAGCCUGAGCAUCUCCCUUGAGCUGGACGCAUCCCAGCGAAGACUGCAAAUGGAUCUAAAGAGGAAUAAUUCAGAACUGGCUCCUCUCGUGGGGUUCUCCUGUCAGGGCUGUAAAAGCCUGGCUUUCUUUAAUCAAUGGCCAGACUGCAAUGAUAACAGGAUUAUGGGACCUGAUCCAACCCAGUGUGUUCUGGAGAGGGGGAGAGGUGCUACAAGGCCUGGAAAGGCAUCUGUGCCAAAAUUGGGCCCAAAAAAAAUACCAAUCACAAGGUGGCAAACGCAAUGGUUCAUGUCACUCAACAAGAGGACAAACGGCAGGAAGACGAUUGAUAUCCAUCCAAUCACGCGUUAAUCAGGAAUACCUCACCACUGAGCCAGAACCACCGACUGAGAGAUGGACAGAACGAGAGAAACUCAGAGGCAAAUG